CAGCCGCCGCGGUAAUACGGAGGGUGCAAGCGUUAAUCGGAAUUACUGGGCGCAAAGCGCACGCAGGCGGUUUGUUAAGUCAGAUGUGAAAUCCCCGAGCUUAACUUGGGAACUGCAUUUGAAACUGGCAAGCUAGAGUCUUGUAGAGGGGGGUAGAAUUCCAGGUGUAGCGGUGAAAUGCGUAGAGAUCUGGAGGAAUACCGGUGGCGAAGGCGGCCCCCUGGACAAAGACUGACGCUCAGGUGCGAAAGCGUGGGGAGCAAACAGGAUUAGAUACCCGAGUAGUCCCUGUCUCUUAUAC
This 301-nucleotide ribosomal RNA is filed under the name uncultured bacterium. RNAcentral describes it as "partial 16S ribosomal RNA". It matches the Rfam family "Bacterial small subunit ribosomal RNA", at positions 509 to 807 of the family's 1533-position model. The record is from RNAcentral.